RNAcentral lists this ribosomal RNA (414 nucleotides) under uncultured beta proteobacterium. RNAcentral describes it as "bacterial SSU rRNA". It matches the Rfam family "Bacterial small subunit ribosomal RNA", at positions 9 to 423 of the family's 1533-position model. Lineage: Bacteria; Pseudomonadati; Pseudomonadota; Betaproteobacteria. The record is from RNAcentral.
GAGUUUGAUCGUGGCUCAGAUUGAACGCUGGCGGAAUGCUUUACACAUGCAAGUCGAGCGGCAGCGCGGGGCAACCUGGCGGCGAGCGGCGAACGGGUGAGUAAUGCAUCGGAACAUGUCCAAGUCGUGGGGGGAUAGCCCGGCGAAAGCCGGAUUAAUACCGCAUGUGCCCGAGAGGGGAAAGUGGGGGGACCGCAAGGCCUCACGCGAUUGGGUUGGCCGAUGUCCGAUUAGCUAGUUGGCGGGGUAAGAGCCCACCAAGGCGAUGAUCGGUAGCUGGUCUGAGAGGAUGAUCAGCCACACUGGGACUGAGACACGGCCCAGACUCCUACGGGAGGCAGCAGUGGGGAAUUUUGGACAAUGGGGGGCAACCCUGAUCCAGCCAUUCCGCGUGAGUGAAGAAGGCCUUCGGUU